This 497-nucleotide ribosomal RNA is filed under the name uncultured bacterium. RNAcentral's name for it is "partial 16S ribosomal RNA". It matches the Rfam family "Bacterial small subunit ribosomal RNA", at positions 28 to 507 of the family's 1533-position model. The record is from RNAcentral.
GAUGAACGCUGGCGGCGUGCCUAAUACAUGCAAGUCGAGCGAACGGACGAGAAGCUUGCUUCUCUGAUGUUAGCGGCGGACGGGUGAGUAACACGUGGAUAACCUACCUAUAAGACUGGGAUAACUUCGGGAAACCGGAGCUAAUACCGGAUGAUAUUUUGAACCGCAUGGUUCAAAAGUGAAAGACGGUCUUGCUGUCACUUAUAGAUGGAUCCGCGCUGCAUUAGCUAGUUGGUAAGGUAACGGCUUACCAAGGCAACGAUGCAUAGCCGACCUGAGAGUGUGAUCGGCCACACUGGAACUGAGACACGGUCCAGACUCCUACGGGAGGCAGCAGUAGGGAAUCUUACGCAAUGGGCGAAAGCCUGACGGAGCAACGCCGCGUGAGUGAUGAAGGUCUUCGGAUCGUAAAACUCUGUUAUUAGGGAAGAACAUAUGUGUAAGUAACUGUGCACAUCUUGACGGUACCUAAUCAGAAAGCCACGGCUAACUACGUG